Long non-coding RNA from Pangasianodon hypophthalmus (striped catfish), 560 nucleotides. RefSeq lists it as uncharacterized. The record is from RefSeq and is a predicted model, not a curated record. The transcript has 3 exons. NCBI's taxonomy places the organism in Eukaryota, Metazoa, Chordata, Actinopteri, Siluriformes, Pangasiidae.
CACAGAGACCCAGAGGCACAGAAGCACAGAAGCACAGAGGACAGCGGCUGGGAUUCGCUUUUCAAUGAAGUGCACUAGAAUGGAAGCCUUCAAGCCCAAGCAGAAUGAAUGAGGAGGAGGGCCUAGGAAUUAGUCCUGCUGCCCCGGCAUCUUGUGGACCGGGUAGUACAUUGUGUUCUGCUAUGGUAAAAGAUCUGGCGGUGGCAGUGUUCGAGAGGGAGACUUUGGCCACUCAUGGGCUGUCUGGAAGGGCUGGCAAGGCUAAUAAAGGCACUACGGCAAAGCCAGCUCUUCACCAAGACAAAGUAUUGUCGAUCUUGAGAAACAAACACUCGUCAUGUCCUGAAGAAUUUCCGAUCUAUCUUGCACAAUCGUCCUGCAGGGAGUGUGUGUUUUUAAAUAGAGCUGCAGGACAGAAUUCCUGGAGGAUAUAAUUCCAUAUAAUUAUUUCCUUCAUAGAGUUCCUGCAGGUAUUUCUACAGGAAAAUGAGCUGAAAAACCUAUAGGAUAACUGCCCAAUAUUACUGCAGGAUUCCUGUAGGGUUUUUUUUUUUUUUUUU